GGGAAAUAUUGCGCAUUGGGGGAAACCCUGCCGAAGCAAUACGGCGUGAGUGAAGAAGGUUUUGGAACGGAAAGGCUCUUUUAUUGGGGAGGAAAAAAAGCGGGUCCCCAAGAAAAAGGUCCUGGAUACGUACGUGCCAGCAGCCGCGGUAAUACGUAGGGGACAAGCGUUGUCCGGAUUUACUGGGCGUAAAGGGCACGCAGGCGGUUUUUUAAGUCAGAUGUGAAAGGUACCGGCUCAACCGGUGACAUGCAUUUGAAACUGAAAGACUUGAGUAUUGGAGAGGCAAGUGGAAUUCCUAGUGUAGCGGUCAAAUGCGUAGAUAUUAGGAGGAACACCGGUGGCGAAGGCGGCUUGCUGGACAAAUACUGACGCUGAGGUGCUAAAGCGUGGGGAGCAAACA
This 403-nucleotide ribosomal RNA is filed under the name uncultured Acetobacterium sp. RNAcentral's name for it is "bacterial SSU rRNA". It matches the Rfam family "Bacterial small subunit ribosomal RNA", at positions 356 to 774 of the family's 1533-position model. Lineage: Bacteria; Bacillati; Bacillota; Clostridia; Eubacteriales; Eubacteriaceae. The record is from RNAcentral.